This 56-nucleotide transfer RNA is filed under the name Bos taurus (domestic cattle). It matches the Rfam family "tRNA", at positions 8 to 63 of the family's 71-position model. From Rfam's summary of the family: Transfer RNA (tRNA) molecules are approximately 80 nucleotides in length. Their secondary structure includes four short double-helical elements and three loops (D, anti-codon, and T loops). Lineage: Eukaryota; Metazoa; Chordata; Mammalia; Artiodactyla; Bovidae. The record is from Rfam by way of RNAcentral. RNAcentral also lists the same sequence under 5 other names.
UGGCUUAGAUGGUAAAGCAUCUGCCUGCAAUGCGGGAGACCUGGGUUCGAUCCCAG